GCACAGAUCCAAGCCAUCGCACAACAA
RNAcentral lists this small RNA (27 nucleotides) under Bombyx mori (domestic silkworm). RNAcentral's name for it is "ovarian small RNA-16288". Lineage: Eukaryota; Metazoa; Arthropoda; Insecta; Lepidoptera; Bombycidae. The record is from RNAcentral.